Small nucleolar RNA from Choloepus hoffmanni (Hoffmann's two-fingered sloth), 93 nucleotides. Its record names the gene SNORD116. It matches the Rfam family "Small nucleolar RNA SNORD116". From Rfam's summary of the family: HBII-85 is a member of the C/D class of snoRNAs, which contain the C (UGAUGA) and D (CUGA) box motifs. NCBI's taxonomy places the organism in Eukaryota, Metazoa, Chordata, Mammalia, Pilosa, Megalonychidae. The record is from Ensembl.
GAAUAUAAGACACCACCCAAAUAUGCAUUCCUUGGAGAAGCUGAACAAAAUGAGUCUGGCAUUCCUUCCAUGUCCUUUCCUUGCAUGCACUUC